RNAcentral lists this ribosomal RNA (510 nucleotides) under uncultured bacterium. RNAcentral describes it as "partial 16S ribosomal RNA". It matches the Rfam family "Bacterial small subunit ribosomal RNA", at positions 28 to 507 of the family's 1533-position model. The record is from RNAcentral.
GACGAACGCUGGCGGCGUGCUUAACACAUGCAAGUCGAACGAAGAGCGAUGGAAGCUUGCUUCUAUCAAUCUUAGUGGCGAACGGGUGAGUAACGCGUAAUCAACCUGCCCUUCAGAGGGGGACAACAGUUGGAAACGACUGCUAAUACCGCAUACGAUCUGAUCUCGGCAUCGAGGAUAGAUGAAAGGUGGCCUCUACAUGUAAGCUAUCACUGAAGGAGGGGAUUGCGUCUGAUUAGCUAGUUGGAGGGGUAACGGCCCACCAAGGCGAUGAUCAGUAGCCGGUCUGAGAGGAGGAACGGCCACAUUGGGACUGAGACACGGCCCAGACUCCUACGGGAGGCAGCAGUGGGGAAUCUUCCGCAAUGGACGAAAGUCUGACGGAGCAACGCCGCGGGAGCGAUGACGGCCUUCGGGUUGUAAAGCUCUGUUAAUCGGGACGAAAGGCCUUCUUGCGAAUAGUGAGAAGGAUUGACGGUACCGGAAUAGAAAGCCACGGCUAACUACGUG